This 504-nucleotide ribosomal RNA is filed under the name uncultured bacterium. RNAcentral describes it as "partial 16S ribosomal RNA". It matches the Rfam family "Bacterial small subunit ribosomal RNA", at positions 29 to 523 of the family's 1533-position model. The record is from RNAcentral.
AUUGAACGCUGGCGGCAGGCCUAACACAUGCAAGUCGGACGGUAGCACAGAGAGCUUGCUCUCGGGUGACGAGUGGCGGACGGGUGAGUAAUGUCUGGGGAUCUGCCCGAUAGAGGGGGAUAACCACUGGAAACGGUGGCUAAUACCGCAUAACGUCGCAAGACCAAAGAGGGGGACCUUCGGGCCUCUCACUAUCGGAUGAACCCAGAUGGGAUUAGCUAGUAGGCGGGGUAACGGCCCCCCGAGGCGACGAUCCCUAGCUGGUCUGAGAGGAUGACCAGCCACACUGGAACUGAGACACGGUCCAGACUCCUACGGGAGGCAGCAGUGGGGAAUAUUGCACAAUGGGCGCAAGCCUGAUGCAGCCAUGCCGCGUGUAUGAAGAAGGCCUUCGGGUUGUAAAGUACUUUCAGCGGGGAGGAAGGCGAUGUGGUUAAUAACCGCAUUGAUUGACGUUACCCGCAGAAGAAGCACCGGCUAACUCCGUGCCAGCAGCCGCCGUAA